GACGAACGCUGGCGGCGUGCUUAACACAUGCAAGUCGAACGGAAAGGCCCUGCUUUUGUGGGGUGCUCGAGUGGCGAACGGGUGAGUAACACGUGAGUAACCUGCCCUUGACUUUGGGAUAACUUCAGGAAACUGGGGCUAAUACCGGAUAGGAGCUCCUGCUGCAUGGUGGGGGUUGGAAAGUUUCGGCGGUGGGGGAUGGACUCGCGGCUUAUCAGCUUGUUGGUGGGGUAGUGGCUUACCAAGGCUUUGACGGGUAGCCGGCCUGAGAGGGUGACCGGCCACAUUGGUACUGCGAUACGGCCCAGACUCCUACGGGAGGCAGCGGUGGGGAAUAUUGCACAAUGGGCGGAAGCCUGAUGCAGCAACGCCGCGUGCGGGAUGACGGCCUUCGGGUUGUAAACCGCUUUCGCCUGUGACGAAGCGUGCGUGACGGUAAUGGGUAAAGAAGCACCGGCUAACUACGUG
This 468-nucleotide ribosomal RNA is filed under the name uncultured bacterium. RNAcentral's name for it is "partial 16S ribosomal RNA". It matches the Rfam family "Bacterial small subunit ribosomal RNA", at positions 28 to 507 of the family's 1533-position model. The record is from RNAcentral.